RNAcentral lists this ribosomal RNA (525 nucleotides) under Triticum aestivum (bread wheat). Its description in RNAcentral is "partial small subunit ribosomal RNA". The record is from RNAcentral. Lineage: Eukaryota; Viridiplantae; Streptophyta; Magnoliopsida; Poales; Poaceae.
AUGCAGACAAAGGGGCCUCUGAAGAGUAACGCUGAGGUGCGUGGCUCGGUGAUGCUCAUGUCCGGGAUGGGUGCGUUGACGCUGCAAGCGGGGCGGGAAAUAAUGCAGAUGAACUGGCGAUGGAUAUACGCUGACCGACGCACUCCGGAGUUCAUGAAAGGCUUGCGUUAUUUUCUGGAUGUGGCCCAGGCAAAUAAGCGGAAUAAUUUUAUGUGUUGUCCAAGUGCUGUUUGUCGGAAUCAGAAGGAACAGUCUUCCCACAGAGUCCUCCACAGCCACCUGCUUCAGCACGGUUUCAUGUCCGGCUAUAAUUGUUGGACCAAGCACGGAGAAAGAGGGGUUAUGAUGGAAGACAACGAAGAGGAAGAUAAUGAUGACAACUAUCAUGAUAUGUUCCCUGAAUACGGUACUGGUACUGGAAUGGAUGAUGAUGGAGAAGAAGCAGAAGACCAGCGGGCACCAGAUGAUCCCAUCGACGAUCUUGGCCAAGUCAUUACGGAUGCAAAAGGGAGAAUGCGAAGUUGA